RNAcentral lists this non-coding RNA (78 nucleotides) under uncultured Fusicatenibacter sp. RNAcentral describes it as "Cyclic di-GMP-I riboswitch". It matches the Rfam family "c-di-GMP-I riboswitch aptamer", at positions 12 to 83 of the family's 87-position model. From Rfam's summary of the family: GEMM was predicted in a large-scale screen for bacterial structured RNA regulatory elements. Genes associated with GEMM are involved in a diverse array of functions, including chemotaxis regulation, signal transduction, secretion and chitin. The record is from RNAcentral. Lineage: Bacteria; Bacillati; Bacillota; Clostridia; Lachnospirales; Lachnospiraceae.
UGGGCAAAACUGUUCAAAAGCAGUGACGCAAAACUAUAGGGUCUAAAUCAUAAGUGUAUGACAUGACAGCCAGCUGCA